UAACCCUCCCACCUGGCCACCUCCCCACGAGCCACGAAGGCCUCUAACCUCAUCCACCACCACCACCUCGUGCGCUAAUAUCAUGCGUCUAAGGAUGAAAUAAAAAUAAAAUCCUCUCCGCCAGCUCUCUCCCCCGAUUCCUCUCUCCACCACCACCGAUUCCAGGGAACUCCGGCGCUCCCCUGCACUCCUGAUCCCUGGUUCGGAUCCCUCUUACUAUUCUCUCCUCUAACCCGCGGCCCGCCGCCUCCCCGACAUCCUAUGCGACCCUGCCCACGCCCCCGCAGAAACCCUAGACCCCCACGGGUCGCCGGCGCAGCUUUGGCACCUCCGGUUUGUCGGCCCACCACCCCGCCUCUCUGCACGAGCGGCUAUCGGCUCGGGCUCGACGGUACUGCGCUCCGUCAGCUACCUCGACUCCGACGCCGACGGUUCAGUUGUAGUUGAGACUUCAUUUAUGCCGAGUAUGCUGUAGCAGCUGAACAUCGUCAUCGCUCAAAUGUGUAGGAGUGCCUGCUUUCCAUGAUGUACCGAUGUCAUUGAUGUGCCUUUUGUGAUGAGAAAGGAACUAGGUAUUGCAGAUGAUGUUACGGUGGUCAUUUUCUACAUUUGAGGACAGAUUGCCAAGAUAAAUAGAGGAUGCAUGGAUAAGUUGUUUUUGGCAAGGCAGAGAAUGGGACUACUACCAACAUAGUUUUACGUUAAGUUUUUAGAAAGCCGUUUUCAUGGUCAGUGUAUAGAAAAUGAUGUGACGUCAUUUUCAGGGUCAAUGUAAAGAAAAUCAUGUGUUUACUCUUUUGAUUUUGUUCCAUGUAAUGCAACCAAUCAGAUUCAAUAUAUGAGCUCUCCCUAUUUAC
Triticum aestivum (bread wheat) is the source of this 857-nucleotide long non-coding RNA. RefSeq lists it as uncharacterized. The transcript is spliced from 5 exons. Lineage: Eukaryota; Viridiplantae; Streptophyta; Magnoliopsida; Poales; Poaceae. The record is from RefSeq and is a predicted model, not a curated record.